RNAcentral lists this ribosomal RNA (716 nucleotides) under uncultured bacterium. RNAcentral's name for it is "bacterial SSU rRNA". It matches the Rfam family "Bacterial small subunit ribosomal RNA", at positions 616 to 1333 of the family's 1533-position model. The record is from RNAcentral.
GAGAACUGCGUUNUGAACUGGGUGACUAGAGUGUGUCAGAGGGAGGUAGAAUNCCACGUGUAGCAGUGAAAUGCGUAGAGAUGUGGAGGAAUACCGAUGGCGAAGGCAGCCUCCUGGGAUAACACUGACGUUCAUGCCCGAAAGCGUGGGUAGCAAACAGGAUUAGAUACCCUGGUAGUNCACGCCCUAAACGAUGUCGAUUAGCUGUUGGGCAGCAUGACUGCUUAGUAGCGAAGCUAACGCGUGAAAUCGACCGCCUGGGGAGUACGGUCGCAAGAUUAAAACUCAAAGGAAUUGACGGGGACCCGCACAAGCGGUGGAUGAUGUGGAUUAAUUCGAUGCAACGCGAAGAACCUUACCUGGUCUUGACAUGUACGGAACCCUCCAGAGACGGAGGGGUGCCUUCGGGAGCCGUAACACAGGUGCUGUAUGGCUGUCGUCAGCUCGUGUCGUGAGAUGUUGGGUUAAGUCCCGCAACGAGCGCAACCCUUGUCAUUAGUUGCCAUCAUUAAGUUGGGCACUCUAAUGAGACUGCCGGUGACAAGCCGGAGGAAGGUGGGGAUGACGUCAAGUCCUCAUGGCCCUUAUGACCAGGGCUUCACACGUCAUACAAUGGUCGGUACAGAGGGUAGCCAAGCCGCGAGGUGGGGCCAAUCUCACAAAACCGAUCGUAGUCCGGAUUGCACUCUGCAACUCGAGUGCAUGAAGUCGGAAUC